GAAUUAAAAUUCGUUGGCUUUAUAGACCGUGAG
Molecule: transfer RNA, 33 nt
Filed under: Austrolycopodium fastigiatum
Lineage: Eukaryota; Viridiplantae; Streptophyta; Lycopodiopsida; Lycopodiales; Lycopodiaceae
Description: partial transfer RNA-Leu
Source: RNAcentral